RNAcentral lists this ribosomal RNA (492 nucleotides) under uncultured bacterium. Its description in RNAcentral is "partial 16S ribosomal RNA". It matches the Rfam family "Bacterial small subunit ribosomal RNA", at positions 30 to 507 of the family's 1533-position model. The record is from RNAcentral.
AUUGAACGCUGGCGGCAUGCUUUACACAUGCAAGUCGAACGGUAACAGGCCUUCGGGUGCUGACGAGUGGCGAACGGGUGAGUAAUGCAUCGGAACGUGCCCAGAGGUGGGGGAUAACGCAGCGAAAGCUGUGCUAAUACCGCAUGUGAUCUGAGAUGAAAGCCGGGGAACAACCAGCAAUGUUUGGCCUCGGCGCUUUUGAGCCGCCCGAUGUCGGCUAAGGUAGUUGGGGGGGUAAAGGCCUACCAACCCGACGAUUGGUACCUGGUCUGAGAGGCCGGCCAGCCACACUGGGACUGAGACAAGGCCCAGACUCCUGCGGGAGGCAACAGUGGGGAAUUUUGGACAAUGGGCGCAAGCCUGAUCCAGCAAUGCCGCGUGCGGGAAGAAGGCCUUCGGGUUGUAAAACGCUUUUGUACGGAACGAAAAGGCUCUGGCUAAUACCUGGGGCUGAUGACGGUACCGUAAGAAUAAGCACCGGCUAACUACGUG